Molecule: long non-coding RNA, 342 nt
Organism: Etheostoma spectabile (orangethroat darter)
Lineage: Eukaryota; Metazoa; Chordata; Actinopteri; Perciformes; Percidae
Exons: 3
Source: RefSeq, a predicted model, not a curated record
UCCCAGCAGCCAAGUAAAUCUGGAGCACAAAUGAAUUAAGGGGGAAUUAAGGAGCCUGUGCAAAGUGAAGCCUUUCCAAAUCUCAACACAGAUGAAAGGAAUGCAGCAAAAGACUAGAAAAAGCUGGCCUAAAUCUUCCCACAGGAAAUGCAGAUUGAUCCGGCUGAAUUUGCAUGGGAAUCCAUUCCGUUUGAGCCGAGAGAUCAUAAUUGAUCAGAUGGGAUAAAGCCUGUAUCUGGCUUGCCUUUCAAAGGUUAAGGUGAAAAUGAAUUUGCUUGUUCGUUAGUUACAUUUCAAUCCUGUAAUUAAGUCUUGCAAAUGAUUAAAAUGUAAAACAAUGGA